CUCAUUUCUGUACUUGAUUGUAAUUUACGGUAACUGAGGUGACUCACUGCUCCACUUUACUGUCCCAUACGGUAACUGGAGCGUUACGUCACUCGUCACGCGUUUUCGCGGGAAAUCACCUGGCUGCUGCGGCACUGUUAAAUAUCCAAGAAAAUGCUUUUUAAAAAUGUUUUUGUGCUCCUCUGCUUGGAUACACAUGUUCUCACAGCCUCUCAAGAAUGAUCUUCUUCAGUGAUGGUGUGAUGAGGCCAAACGCCACUCUGACCUUUGCACCCUCCCAGCGUUACAGUGGCAGUACAGACACUGGUAUCCUCUACCCGAGUGGGUUUGCCCUGCUCCCUGCGUGAGGUCAGCACACUUCCUCACAGCAUGACCUCUGAUCCCAUCACCGCCUCACUACUCUCAACCCUCCAUUCACUCACUCAGCUGGAGCCACAGCUAAAGAUUGCUCUGAGUGACGGCUGUGGUCUGGAACUGCUCCACCCCACCCCACACCACCACCCCACCCCACCAUCUCAUGGGACUCCGGAUGGAGGAAUGCGGCAGGCUUUGGGAGAAGACAAGCCUGCAGCUCCACACCCUCCUCCCUCCCAGCUCUCCCCUGUCUGCUCAUCCUCUCCCAGUCACGCACAGCUAAUCCCAGGCAUCUAUCGAGUACUGACCGUAUCUGCUGAUACUGCGUGGGAAGCUGGCUGAGGAAGGAAUGUUGAAAGACGACAUCUGUUUGGACACCAAGGCCACAACACAGCGCUCAGACACCUGGGAGAUGAAGAACAUCUUGAGGGAAAGGCAACAGGACAACAGGCCAUUGAUUAUGAACCUGGACUCAAUCCCAAGCCUGAAAAUUUGAAUGCAAAAAGUUUGACCUGUCAGUGUUGGAUAGAUGUAUGCUCAGAGGUCUCCUUUUCUGUCAAAGAUAGAAAGACAGAGACCAUAGAAAACCCCUUCUGUCUGGAAAGCAGCAGAGCUCUUCAGCAUUCAUGAGGCAGUGGUACACUGACCUUCAUCCCAUAACCUGAACCUCUCUCCCCUCCUGAGGCCUGAUGUGCCGCUGGCUUGGACGUUUUCCAAGGUCAGGUGGAGGGCCUCAGUCCUGUGGGGAGGUGAUGAGGUGAUAUGGCCAAUGCCCUCUACUGUUAAUGAGUGUAUCUUGAAGGACUACAGGGGGUUGAAGUAAGCCAGAGAGCUUGAGGUAAAAGGGUCUCACACCAUCCACCUGCAUAGGUGUGUUUGUGUGUGUGUUUAUGUUUGUUUGUGUGUUUAAAGCUGAAGAGCAGUUGGCGGCGAAAGGGAUGUACAGUAGAAGAGGGGCCGUAUUUUCAUCUUCCUUCUGUUGCACAGCUGAAAGAUCCACCACUGUUUAAAUGAAAAUUAGAGACAAAGAUCACUGCUGUGUAAUUAUCUGUGAGGGCAAACCUGCAAGUAAUUUUCUUGUAGGUUUAUUGAUUUACACAGAGUGAGAUGGAUAGGUUAGCUUGUUGUAAUCACAUCUUCUCUUCUGUCACCUGUCUCAGCCUCUUGGUAUCAACACUGCUGUAACUAGUCAAUAAAGUGAAAAUAAAUGGAUGAACUACA
Lates calcarifer (barramundi perch) is the source of this 1575-nucleotide long non-coding RNA. RefSeq lists it as uncharacterized. The record is from RefSeq and is a predicted model, not a curated record. The transcript is spliced from 6 exons. NCBI's taxonomy places the organism in Eukaryota, Metazoa, Chordata, Actinopteri, Centropomidae.